This 84-nucleotide transfer RNA is filed under the name Bacilli bacterium PM5-9. RNAcentral describes it as "tRNA-Tyr". It matches the Rfam family "tRNA". From Rfam's summary of the family: Transfer RNA (tRNA) molecules are approximately 80 nucleotides in length. Their secondary structure includes four short double-helical elements and three loops (D, anti-codon, and T loops). RNAcentral also lists the same sequence under 1 other name. The record is from RNAcentral. Lineage: Bacteria; Bacillati; Bacillota; Bacilli.
GGAGGGGUAGCGAAGUGGCUAAACGCGACUGACUGUAACUCAGUUCCUUAGGGUUCGGCGGUUCGAAUCCGCCCCCCUCCACCA